GACAGAGGCCUCGAGCGUUAGGCGGAAUCACUGGGCUUAAAGCGUGUGUAGGCGGAUCGUUAAGUGCCUUGUGAAAUCCCACGGCUUAACUGUGGAACGGCUGGGCAUACUGGCGGUCUUGAGCCAUCUAGGGGCGACUGGAACAAACGGUGGAGCGGUGAAAUGCGUAGAUAUCGGGAGGAACACCAGUGGCGAAGGCGGUUGCCUGGAGCUUUGCUGACGCUGAGGCGCGAAAGCUAGGGGAGCGAACGGG
RNAcentral lists this ribosomal RNA (253 nucleotides) under uncultured bacterium. RNAcentral describes it as "partial 16S ribosomal RNA". It matches the Rfam family "Bacterial small subunit ribosomal RNA", at positions 524 to 776 of the family's 1533-position model. The record is from RNAcentral.